UGAGGAAUAUUGGUCAAUGGGCGGGAGCCUGAACCAGCCAAGUCGCGUGAAGGAAGAAAGAUCUAUGGUUCGUAAACUUCUUUUGCAGGGGAAUAAAGUGCAGGACGUGUCCUGUUUUGUAUGUACCCUGAGAAUAAGCACCGGCUAACUCCGUGCCAGCAGCCGCGGUAAUACGGAGGGUGCGAGCGUUAUCCGGAUUUACUGGGUUUAAAGGGUGCGUAGGUGGGCUUAUAAGUCAGUGGUGAAAUCUCCGAGCUUAACUUGGAAACUGCCGUUGAUACUAUAGGUCUUGAAUUAUCUGGAGGUAAGCGGAAUAUGUCAUGUAGCGGUGAAAUGCUUAGAUAUGACAUAGAACACCAAUUGCGAAGGCAGCUUACUACAUAUAAAUUGACGCUGAGGCACGAAAGCGUGGGGAUCAAACA
This 422-nucleotide ribosomal RNA is filed under the name uncultured bacterium. RNAcentral describes it as "bacterial SSU rRNA". It matches the Rfam family "Bacterial small subunit ribosomal RNA", at positions 355 to 774 of the family's 1533-position model. The record is from RNAcentral.